CAGCAGCCGCGGUAAUACGUAGGUGGCAAGCGUUGUCCGGAUUUAUUGGGCGUAAAGCGAGCGCAGGCGGUUCUUUAAGUCUGAUGUGAAAGCCCCCGGCUCAACCGGGGAGGGUCAUUGGAAACUGGAGAACUUGAGUGCAGAAGAGGAGAGUGGAAUUCCACGUGUAGCGGUGAAAUGCGUAGAUAUGUGGAGGAACACCAGUGGCGAAGGCGACUCUCUGGUCUGUACCUGACGCUGAGGCUCGAAAGCGUGGGGAGCAAACAGGAUUAGAUACCCUGGUAGUCCACGCCGUAAACGAUGAGUGCUAAGUGUUGGAGGGUUUCCGCCCUUCAGUGCUGCAGCUAACGCAUUAAGCACUCCGCCUGGGGAGUACGACCGCAAGGUUGAAACUUAAAGGAAUUGGCGGG
RNAcentral lists this ribosomal RNA (410 nucleotides) under uncultured microorganism. RNAcentral's name for it is "bacterial SSU rRNA". It matches the Rfam family "Bacterial small subunit ribosomal RNA", at positions 509 to 917 of the family's 1533-position model. The record is from RNAcentral.